UACCAGCUCUUCGAGUGGUGUGGAUGUUUAUUGGGCCUAAAGCAUCCGUAGCUGGCUGGGCAAGUCCCCUGUUAAAUCCACCGAUUUAAUCGUUGGAGUGCGGGGGAUACUGUUCGGCUAGGGGACGGGAGAGGUAGACGGUAUUUUCGGGGUAGGGGUGAAAUCCUAUAAUCCCGGGAAGACCACCAGUGGCGAAGGCUGUCUGCUAGAACGCGCCCGACGGUGAGGGAUGAAAGCUGGGGGGAGCGAACCGGAUUAGAUACCCGGGUAGUCCCAGCUGUAAACGAUGCAGGCUAGGUGUUUGGGCGGCCACGUGCCGCUCUAGUGCCGCAGGGAAGCCGUUAAGCCUGCCGCCUGGGGAGUACGGCCGCAAGGCUGAAACUUAAAGGAAUUGGCGGGGGAGCACCACAAGGGGUGAAGCUUGCGGUUU
This 430-nucleotide ribosomal RNA is filed under the name uncultured archaeon. RNAcentral's name for it is "bacterial SSU rRNA". It matches the Rfam family "Archaeal small subunit ribosomal RNA", at positions 474 to 903 of the family's 1478-position model. The record is from RNAcentral.